ACGCUGGCGGCAGGCUUAACACAUGCAAGUCGAACGGUAGCAGGAGAAAGCUUGCUUUCUUGCUGACGAGUGGCGGACGGGUGAGUAAUGCUUGGGAAUCUGGCUUAUGGAGGGGGAUAACUACGGGAAACUGUAGCUAAUACCGCGUAGUGUCGAGAGACGAAAGUGCGGGACCGCAAGGCCGCAUGCCAUGAGAUGAGCCCAAGUGGGAUUAGGUAGUUGGUGGGGUAAAGGCCUACCAAGCCUGCGAUCUCUAGCUGGUCUGAGAGGAUGGCCAGCCACACUGGAACUGAGACACGGUCCAGACUCCUACGGGAGGCAGCAGUGGGGAAUAUUGCGCAAUGGGGGGAACCCUGACGCAGCCAUGCCGCGUGAAUGAAGAAGGCCUUCGGGUUGUAAAGUUCUUUCGGUAUUGAGGAAGGUUGAUGUGUUAAUAGUACAUCAAAUUGACGUUAAAUACAGAAGAAGCACCGGCUAACUCCGUGCCAGCAGCCGCGGUAAUACGGAGGGUGCGAGCGUUAAUCGGAAUAACUGGGCGUAAAGGGCACGCAGGCGGUUAUUUAUGUGAGGUGUGAAAGCCCCGGGCUUAACCUGGGAAUUGCAUUUCAGACUGGGUAACUAGAGUACUUUAGGGAGGGGUAGAAUUCCACGUGUAGCGGUGAAAUGCGUAGAGAUGUGGAGGAAUACCGAAGGCGAAGGCAGCCCCUUGGGAAUGUACUGACGCUCAUGUGCGAAAGCGUGGGGAGCAAACAGGAUUAGAUACCCUGGUAGUCCACGCUGUAAACGCUGUCGAUUUGGGGAUUGGGCUUAGAGCUUGGUGCCCGUAGCUAACGUGAUAAAUCGACCGCCUGGGGAGUACGGCCGCAAGGUUAAAACUCAAAUGAAUUGACGGGGGCCCGCACAAGC
RNAcentral lists this ribosomal RNA (906 nucleotides) under uncultured bacterium. Its description in RNAcentral is "bacterial SSU rRNA". It matches the Rfam family "Bacterial small subunit ribosomal RNA", at positions 33 to 930 of the family's 1533-position model. The record is from RNAcentral.